UACGAAGGGGGCUAGCGUUACUCGGAAUUACUGGGCGUAAAGGGCGCGUAGGCGGCGCUCCAAGUUAGGCGUGAAAGUCCUGGGCUCAACCUGGGAACUGCGCUUAAGACUGGAGUGCUUGAGGAUGGAAGAGGCUCGUGGAAUUCCCAGUGUAGAGGUGAAAUUCGUAGAUAUUGGGAAGAACACCGGUGGCGAAGGCGGCGAGCUGGUCCAUUACUGACGCUGAGGCGCGAUAGCGUGGGGAGCAAAC
This 250-nucleotide ribosomal RNA is filed under the name uncultured Alphaproteobacteria bacterium. RNAcentral's name for it is "partial 16S ribosomal RNA". It matches the Rfam family "Bacterial small subunit ribosomal RNA", at positions 524 to 773 of the family's 1533-position model. The record is from RNAcentral. Lineage: Bacteria; Pseudomonadati; Pseudomonadota; Alphaproteobacteria.